UGGAGGCCGCUGCUGAGUUGCCUCUGUCUCUUUAAGAGAGAGAGAAAGAGAGAAAUCAGGAAGUGAGAGAGCUGAGCCAGGACUGCUGAGCGGUGCGUGCGGGGGCCACGGGUAGCAGGCAGAGGCAGGGAGGCUGCAAGGAAACCCACUGGUCCCAGUUCCCGCGGUGCCAGGAAAUCAUUUCACCUGGUCCUGCCCGAGAGUCCCAAGGCCUGUGGCCACCAGGAUGCAAAAAGCACUGCCCUUGAAUAACUGAGCCCUGAAAGCUCCCGGGGUGCCAGCCCAGCCAGGAGUCCCACAACCCGCAUCCCUGCAGCUGAGAUGGGCUCAUCUCCUGGAUUUGCCCCAGACCGACAGCAUAACACACACUUGCUGGGGAGAGCCUUUGCCUGAUCAGGGCUGCUUGGACAUCGGUGGACGCUGGCCAGUCAGCCGGGGUAGGAGAUGCAGAGCACUGCCAGCUACCUGUGGCACUCAGACGACCUGCUGGGCCAGGGGGCCACUGCCAGUGUAUAUAAGGCCCGCAACAAGAAAUCUGGGGAGCUAGUUGCUGUGAAGGUCUUCAACACCGCCAGCUACCUGCGGCCCCACGAGGUGCAGGUGAGGGAGUUCGAGGUCCUGCGGAAGCUGAACCACCAGAACAUCGUCAAGCUCUUUGCCGUGGAGGAGACGGGGGGCAGCCGGCAGAAGGUGCUGGUGAUGGAGUACUGCUCCAGCGGGAGCCUGCUGAGCGUGCUGGAGAGCCCCGAGAACGCCUUCGGGCUGCCCGAGGAGGAGUUCCUGGUGGUGCUGCGCUGUGUGGUGGCCGGCAUGAACCACCUGCGGGAGAACGGCAUCGUGCACCGCGACAUCAAGCCCGGGAACAUCAUGCGCCUGGUGGGGGAGGAGGGCCAGAGCAUUUACAAGCUGACGGACUUCGGGGCUGCCCGGGAGCUGGACGACGACGAGAAGUUCGUCUCCGUCUACGGGACCGAGGAGUACCUGCAUCCCGACAUGUACGAGCGGGCAGUGCUUCGCAAGCCCCAGCAAAAGGCGUUCGGGGUGACUGUGGACCUCUGGAGCAUUGGGGUGACCCUGUACCACGCAGCCACUGGCAGCCUGCCCUUCGUCCCCUUUGGGGGGCCACGCCGCAACAAGGAGAUCAUGUACCGAAUCACCACGGAGAAGCCAGCUGGGGCCAUCGCAGGUGCUCAGAAGCGGGAAAACGGGCCCCUGGAGUGGAGCUACACCCUGCCCAUCACCUGCCGGCUGUCUGUGGGGCUGCAGAGCCAGCUGGUGCCCAUCCUGGCCAACAUCCUGGAGGUGGAGCAGGCCAAGUGCUGGGGCUUCGACCAGUUCUUUGCGGAGACCAGUGACAUCCUGCAGCGCGUCGUCAUCCACGUCUUCUCGCUGUCCCAGGCAACCCUGCACCACGUCUACAUCCACGCCCACAACACGAUAGCCAUCUUUCUGGAGAGCGUGUAUGAGCAGACCAACGUGGCCCCCCGGCACCAGGAGUACCUCUUUGAGGGGCACGUGUGCGUCCUCGAGCCCAAACUCCCAGCACAGCACCUCUGCACGACUGCGAGGAGCCCCCUGAUACUGUUCAGUGUGGCCAGCGAGACCCCCAAGGGGCUGGCCUUCCGGGACCCUGCUCUGGACAUCCCCAAAUUCGUCCCCAAAGUUGACCUGCAGGCAGAUUACAACACAGCCAAGGGCGUGCUGGGCGCCAGCUACCAGGCCCUGUGGCUGGCACAGGCCCUGCUGGACGGGCAGGAGCUGAUGCUUCGGGGGCUGCACUGGGUUGUGGAGGUGCUCCAGAGCACAUGCAGGCGAACCCUGGAGGUCACACGGACGGCCCUCCUCUUCCUCAGCAGCAGCCUAGGCGCUGAGAGGUUCAGCCGCGAGACUGGGAUGCCUGAGAUCCAGGAACUGAAGCAGGCCUCAGAACUGAGGUCCAGGCUGCGGACUUUGGCUGAGGUCCUCCACAGAUGUUCCCAAAACGUCACAGAGACCCAGAGGAACCUGAGCAGCCUGAGCUCCGAGCUGGCGAAGAACCGGGAUCAGGUACAUGAGGACAGAAGGUGUCCUAUAGCAAGAAAUCUCUCAAUCAAUCACUCGAUAAACAAACAAAUAAACACACCCCAUUCUCCAACUCAACAAAGCAUCCAGCAGAUUCAGUGCUGUUUGGACAAGAUGUUCCUUAUUCACAAGCAGUUCAAGAAGUCCAGGAUGCGGCCAGGGCUCGGCUACAACGAGGAGCAGAUUCACAAGCUGGAUAAGGUGAACUUCAGCCAUUUAGCCAAAAGGCUCCUGCAGGUGUUCCAGGAAGAGUGCGUGCAGAAGUACCAGGCGUCCCUCGUCACUCACGGCAAACGGAUGAGGGUGGCACAUGAGACCCGGAACCACCUGCGCCUGGUCGGCUGCUCUGUGGCCGCCUGUAACACCGAAGCCCAGGGAGCCCAGGAGAGCCUCAGCAAGAUCCUGGACCAGCUGUCUCACCAGCUCCUCCAGAACAGAGCAAAGGGGGCCCAGGCCCCACCACCCCCAGCAGCAUCUUAUCCCAGCCCUGUACCAAAGGACCUGGUUCGACACAUGCAGGAGCUCUGCGAGGGGAUGAAGCUGCUGGCAUUCGACCUCCAGGACAACAACCGCAUCAUCGAACGAGCUGUGGCCAAAGAGCCAUACAACCUUGUGUGAACUCCUUUCCCUCCUUCCAAACCUUACCUGUGCAUCAGGGGGCUUUCAACACCUGGUCUUGCCUCUGGAGACUUCAGAUGCAGCUAGGGUUGGGGGUUUUGAUAAGCUUCUCAGGUGACUAACGGGCAGUGCGAGAUGGGAACAGCGUCCAGGAACAAGAUUCUAGAAGAGGAUGUUAAAUAAAGUCCCGCCAGCUCCUGAUGUCUGAGCUCCGCAGGGCCACAAGGCACCCUGAAGCAUUAGAACCUUCCGAACUCUGCUCUCCUGCACUGCGGGGCUCCACCUAGGCCAGAGCUGGUCCCAUCGCACCAGCCUACCUCCCUCCUGGCCAACGGCCGGAUGUCGCCAGCACUACCUUUCACUGCCUGGCCCCCAGGCUGUCUCGGUCAGGACCCAGAGGACAGAGUGCAGCAGCCCCAGCCUGGGCUGGCCCCUGGGUCUUACCCAGCCCCAGGUCCUGCUCCUCCUUUGUCCGGCUGCAGAGUGGAACAUGGCUAGGCUGUGGGGAGCAGAGGCUCCCAUAGGCUCCCCAUUCCCUUCUGGUUUAUAGCACUGUGCUCCCCUGGGAACAGGAGAGGAGUCUGUGGGAUUUCCCCAGGGUGCUGGGUCAGAUGACCUCAGCUCAGUCUUCCUUCCUCUUCAACCGUUUCACACUGAACACAGCUCUCCCCGUCCUGUGAUUCCUGAGCACUGCCACACAGUCUUAUUUUCCUUCUGUCCCUGGUUGGGCAGAGCCUAAGGUGGGGGACAUGGGUGGUCCAGGCCAGGUAUCAUGCCUUGGGACCCUCCUCCCUCCCUCCUUGUCCUGGGAGGCAGCCAGCCAGGGUCAACAGGUAGCCAUGCCAACCAGCACACCCUGCAACUCCACAGCCCUGAGGAGGCCAAAGGCCCGCACCUUCCAGAAAUGAAAUAAACGUGGCCUUCUUUUCUA
RNA transcript from Tupaia belangeri chinensis (Chinese tree shrew), 3610 nucleotides. It is a transcript of the gene named inhibitor of nuclear factor kappa B kinase subunit epsilon, with no coding region annotated. The record is from RefSeq and is a predicted model, not a curated record. Lineage: Eukaryota; Metazoa; Chordata; Mammalia; Scandentia; Tupaiidae. The transcript has 24 exons.